This 337-nucleotide ribosomal RNA is filed under the name uncultured bacterium. Its description in RNAcentral is "bacterial SSU rRNA". It matches the Rfam family "Bacterial small subunit ribosomal RNA", at positions 8 to 334 of the family's 1533-position model. The record is from RNAcentral.
AGAGUUCGAUUCUGGCUCAGGAUGAACGCUAGCUGCAGGCUUAACACAUGCAAGUCGAGGGGAAACGACAUCGAAAGCUUGCUUUUGAUGGGCGUCGACCGGCGCACGGGUGAGUAACGCGUAUCCAACCUGCCCACCACUUGGGGAUAACCUUGCGAAAGUAAGACUAAUACCCAAUGAUAUCUCUAGAAGACAUCUGAAGGAGAUUAAAGAUUUAUCGGUGAUGGAUGGGGAUGCGUCUGAUUAGCUUGUUGGCGGGGUAACGGCCCACCAAGGCAACGAUCAGUAGGGGUUCUGAGAGGAAGGUCCCCCACAUUGGAACUGAGACACGGUCCAA